AAUCAUGAUUACUUUAUUUACUUUACUGUUCAUUUUUUACUUUUGCCACCAACACAGCCCUCAGUCCCAUCCCUUCCAACCGCUACCACCUAGAUGCCACCAUUGCCUUUCUAUUGGCACCACCACAACCACUACCAAAUAAACUAAGUAUAGAAGCCAAAACCAUUAAAUUGCAUUUCCUUUUAUUUGAGCAACCAAACAUGGGAAUAGAAAUACCUUAUACAUUUUACUAUUUUACAGUCUCAUUCUAUUGUGUCUUACCAAUAACUGGUGUUCUAAAUUUUCACACUAGCAGUUUGCCACUUUGCCUUAAUGCUGGAUGCAGG
This 326-nucleotide unclassified non-coding RNA is filed under the name Hevea brasiliensis (rubber tree). Lineage: Eukaryota; Viridiplantae; Streptophyta; Magnoliopsida; Malpighiales; Euphorbiaceae. The record is from RNAcentral.